CUGAAACUUGAUCUUGUUUUAGUUGAACUAUUCAUGAAGCUUCUGAGUUCAGUGUGGGAGUGGGGAAGUGAGAGAGCUACCAACCACUCUCCUUUUAUAAUAGGGGGUUGAUAAAAAGAGGAGAGGCUGCCAAGAGAUGUGCUUGAGUAGGAAGAGACUCCCCUGGUAACAGCCAAAUCCAGCCUCGGAUAUCACUCUCUUAAAAGGAUAUGACAAAUCUGAAGAUAUACCUGAGGAGGUAGCUGUAGCUGGACAAUGGUAAAGAGGCACAUGCCCCCAUGGAAGAUUCAAGCCUGUCUAGCAGUGUUGAUGUGGACAAAGGCUUUGCCAUUGCCUUUGUUGUUCUUCUGUUUCUAUUCCUAAUAGUGAUGAUUUUUCGGUGUGCCAAGUUGGUGAAGAAUCCCUACAAGGCCGGCUCCACAACCACAGAACCAUCUCUGAGCUGAAGUAUGAUAAAACCUUGUAGACUCCCCCUCACAAGAGAUUUGAAAUCUUUUACACAGACUAUUACAAUAUAGAUUUCAUAUUAUUUCACUUC
Microcebus murinus (gray mouse lemur) is the source of this 538-nucleotide non-coding RNA. The record is from RefSeq and is a predicted model, not a curated record. NCBI's taxonomy places the organism in Eukaryota, Metazoa, Chordata, Mammalia, Primates, Cheirogaleidae.